Alexandromys fortis (reed vole) is the source of this 873-nucleotide non-coding RNA. NCBI's taxonomy places the organism in Eukaryota, Metazoa, Chordata, Mammalia, Rodentia, Cricetidae. The record is from the annotation of a RefSeq genome assembly.
UGUCUGUAUCAGCAGAAUUCACUGGUGUCUGCACCAUGGCCUGGAUUCCUCUCUACUUCCUCCUCCUUCACUGCACAGGGUCUUUCUCCCAACCUUUGCUGACUCAGUCACCCACAGCCUCAGCCUCCCUGGGAGCCUCAGUCAAACUCACCUGCACCUUGAGUAGUGACUACAGCACCAACACCAUUUAUUGGUACCAGCAACAGCCAGACAAGGCCCCUAAGUAUCUGAUGUAUGUUUACAGUAGUGGAAACCAUGGAAAGGGAGAUGGGAUCCCUGAUCGCUUCUCUGGCUCCAGUUCUGGAGCUCAGCGUUACUUAAGCAUCUCCAACAUUCAGCCUGAGGAUGAAGCAGACUAUUUCUGUGCUACAUAUCGUAACAGUGUGUAUGUUUUCGGCGGCGGAACCCAGCUCACUGUCCUAGGUCAGCCCAAAUCUUCUCCCAAAAUCACGGUGUUUCCACCUUCACCUGAGGAGCUCCAGACAAACAAAGCCACACUGGUGUGUCUGAUCAACGACUUCUCCCCACGUACUGUAACAGUGGCUUGGGCGGCAGAUGGUGUGCCUAUCACCCAGGGUGUGCAGACUACAAAAUCCACCAAAGAAAACAAAAACUACAUGGCCAGCAGCUAUCUAAGUUUGACAGCAGACCAGUGGAGAUCUUACAAGAGCGUUUCCUGCAAAGUUACUCAUGAAGGGAGUCUUGUGGAGAAGAGUUUGUCCCCUGCACAAUGUAGCUAGGAGCCCAGACUUCUCCUGAGCCUGGGAAGUGUGGAGCUAGGAGACUCAGAAUGGGGUCUCUUCUCUAUACUAGGGAAUCCAGGCUUCUCUUUUACCCACUGAAUAUUCAAUAAAAUAUCAUUAGUUAAUCAGA